AGAGAUGAGACCCAGGAAGGAACGCGCCUCGUCGGAGCAGGAAGGCCUCCCAAUUUGCUGACUCUAUCUGUGUCAUUUUUUCGAUCUGUCAUCAUUCGGGGAAGCAUGGGGUUCUUCGUCGCGCUAAAGGUGUUCGAUGGAAUGUGUCUGUGGCACGGCUCCAUCUUACAGGUGGGAGCAAAAUCUGCUCAUCUCAUUUUAGUUUAUUUCACAUUGGUGAGUGAAAUACAGGUUUGCUUGAACACUAGGAACCGUAAUUCUAGAGUUUAACAUCAAUGCUGCCUUUUGUUACCUUUUCAGGUGACCUCAGUCAACAAGAGAGAUGGGGAUCAAGGUUUCCCACUGGCUCUGCGCUGAUAAACAAGCAGGUUUGUACAGCCCACAAGAUUCUGCUCCCUUUACAGUUUAAUUAAAUAUGAAAAGGAGAAAAGGUGCAUUAACCUCAAACAAGUACUAGGUUCGUACAAGCUCAUAUGAAUACAUGAUACACAAACACGCUGACACACCCCAAGUCAUAGCGUCAUCACUGGUGGAAUGGGAAACUGUUGCAGGUCCAACGUUUGGCCUGCCAAACCACUGACAACACAACUGCCACCGCAAAGCCAACUCCAAAACCGGAUCCGACAAACACAAACAACACUAUGGUCCCAACACUGUCUUGCGAAGACACUGAGGAGUUGAGGGUUCCAGUACCUGAACUGUUGCACUCUUUGGAAAGUGGCUUCCCACAGAGUCCUUCAUUGCCUUCGAAUGAGCUGUUGGUAAACGACGAGAACUGCUGCCCUUGUGGUAUCAUUCCGGUCAAAUUGUUGUAGGAGAGAUUCAGCACCGCGAGAUAUGUUAGACUGGUUAGAUCCCGCGGGAUCACCCCUGAGAGCUUGUUCUGAGAGAGGUCCAGUGACUCAAGCUGUGCCAAGUCACCAAGCUUUGAUGGGAUUCUUCCAGUGAAGGCGUUAUGUGAAAAUGUUCAGACCAUGUAGAGCAAUAAGAUUCCCAACUGAGUCUGGGAUGGGACCAUCAAAUGCGUUGUUUGAGAAAUCAAGCAUCUUGAAAGUGGUUAGGAUCUUGGUAAAUGUAAGAUCACUCCCUUUAAAUGUGACGACCAUACUAUCUUGGUAUAAUUUAUUAGAUGAUCCAAUCCGCUGAAAGGCCAGAACAUCACCCUCGCUUGUAGAAUUUGACAUCAUAGUUUCUAGUUUCUCGAACCAUUCCGGAUGCAAAUUCCCAGAAAAGUUAUUUGAGGCUAAAUCAAUAAUUUGCAUUCUUGAGAAAAAAAUUCUGGCAGCAACACCUUUUGUAAGGCUCCCAAUUGAACCAUAGAAUUGGUUGGAUCUUAAGAUGAGAACUCGAAGACUGGAAAGGACUCCCAACCAGGUUGGGAAAGAAUCAACAAUAUGAUUGUUACCUAUAUCAAGGACCUCUAAGCUUCUGCAGUUAGAGAGAGAGAUCUGGGUAUUUUUACUUCAAUUCGGUUGCUGUUCAAAUCUAUUGUCUGAAGCAUACAGCCUUCUCCAAUAUUUCCAGGCAGCAUCCCAUCUAAUUGGUUGUUUCUCAACUUUAACAUUUUCACAGCCAUGUUGAAUCAAGCAGGAUGGAACCGGGCCAGUAAGGUUGUUAUAUGACAACUCAAGCAUUUCAUGGUUUGCACCACAAAUUGAAGUUGGUAUAUGACCAUUUAGUUUAUUCUUGGACAAAUCAAGCUUGAUGGAGCCGUUGAUAGGUAUAUCCACGGCCGGUGUAAUUGAAGAGAAGCUAUUGUUGGAGUAAACUAACAAAACUCCACCGAAUAUUCUGGAUAUGAGUGGUAUCCGUAAAUUCCCUUCAAGUCUGUUGGAACUAAGAUCAAGAAAACCCAAACUCCUUAUGAUAGGAUUAAGUGGUGUACACUUCUCCAGGGUAGUGAACAUGUUGUGUGAAAGGUUGAACCGGAUGCUAUUCUUCCCAUUCUCCCACAACCAACAUGGUAUAACUCCAUCUAUACUAUUGCUUGAAAGGUCAACAUCCUCCAUCUCAUAUUGAUGCCUCAACAUACUUGGUAUUUUGGUAAGGUUGCAAGACGCAAGGUAUAGGUAUUGCAUGCUAGGCAGGGAAGGGAAUGGAUAUUCUCCAUCUAUUACUGAUAGCAUGUUGUCAGAAAGGCUCAACAAUUUCAGAUAUUUCAGUCCUGACAGAAGGUCAAGCUCUACAGUGCCCUCCAAUUUAUUUGACUUAAGCAGUAUACCUUGGAGUUUUGUCAACUGAAGAAUGAUUUGGGUAUGUGGCCACUUAGCUGAUUAAAACAUAACACAACAUAAUAUAAAGGUGAAGAUCGUGGUGCAGAAACAUCUUCAAGGUGACCAGAAAGUUGAUUUGAUCCUAAGUUCAGUUCUUCCAAAUUUGGAUGAUUUAACAGACAUUUUGGAAUGUCACCUGCACACAGAGAUAAAAUCAAUCAAUUCAAAGGGUAGUAAUUUACUGAUAUAUAUGCUUCUAAACUGAAAUAGAAACGCAUGUGAACAAAAAUAACAUGGCGCUGAAUGGAUAAAACUUUUAACAUAUCACAUACUCCCUCCGUAACUUAAUAUAAGACGUUUUUCUUUUCAUAAGUUCGGACUUUUGGUUGUGUUAGCUAGUGCAUGAAGCUCAGGAAGAAAUGUGCAGACCAAGGGGCCACAAGUCUAUGGCGAGUGGCGGAGCAAGUAUUUAACAUAUCGAAAGGUUGUGCAUGGGCAAGUCGGCAGCUCAUAUGAUUUCUUUUAUGAUAGAUCUUCUCACAAAUUGCAUUGAUUUUCAUUUUAGGAUGUAAUAAAACACUAGGAUGGUGGCGUUUGUUUAACACUUUCCCCUUAUUAUUGUUGAGCACCAAGUCCAACUCAGCAAUAUGUAAGUGCGCUUUCUUUUAUGCUUUUUUGCAGGAACCCUUUUCUUUUAUGGCUAGACUAUAUAACUUUUCGUUUAUUAAACCGGGGUUCAAUCCCCUUUCAUUAAGAAAAAUC
Molecule: long non-coding RNA, 2975 nt
Filed under: Triticum aestivum (bread wheat)
Lineage: Eukaryota; Viridiplantae; Streptophyta; Magnoliopsida; Poales; Poaceae
Description: long non-coding RNA (TAES_LNC028524)
Source: RNAcentral